Molecule: ribosomal RNA, 468 nt
Filed under: uncultured bacterium
Lineage: Bacteria
Description: partial 16S ribosomal RNA
Rfam family: Bacterial small subunit ribosomal RNA
Source: RNAcentral
GACGAACGCUGGCGGCGUGCUUAACACAUGCAAGUCGAACGGAAAGGCCCUGCUUUUGUGGGGUGCUCGAGUGGCGAACGGGUGAGUAACACGUGAGUAACCUGCCCUUGACCUUGGGAUAACUUCAGGAAACUGGGGCUAAUACCGGAUAGGAGCUCCUGCUGCAUGGUGGGGGUUGGAAAGUUUCGGCGGUUGGGGAUGUACUCGCGGCUUAUCAGCUUGUUGGUGGGGUAGUGGCUUACCAAGGCUUUGACGGGUAGCCGGCCUGAGAGGGUGAACGGCCACAUUGGGACUGAGAUACGGCCCAGAAUCCUACGGGAGGCAGCAGUGGGGAAUAUUGCACAAUGGGCGGAAGCGUGAUGCAGCAACGCCGCGUGCGGGAUGACGGCCUUCGGGUUGUAAACCGCUUUCGCCUGUGACGAAGCGUGAGUGACGGUAAUGGGUAAAGAAGCACCGGCUAACUACGUG